This 344-nucleotide long non-coding RNA is filed under the name Apteryx rowi (Okarito brown kiwi). RNAcentral describes it as "lncRNA (ENSARWG00000015903.1)". The record is from RNAcentral. Lineage: Eukaryota; Metazoa; Chordata; Aves; Apterygiformes; Apterygidae.
CGGCGCUCGGGGCAUCGCAGCGGCGGUUCCCUGCGCGGUCUCACGGCAGCCCCCGUCCCCUCCCCGGCAAGGGCCCCGGCGGCGGAGGCGCUCACCCCCGGCUCUCCGCCGAGAGCGCGCCCGUCCCAGAGCCGCCGGAGCGGAGGAGAAGUAUCAGAGGUGGAAGGAGCUGGAAGGGACUUCGCUAAGGUCUGAGAAAAGGGCAGCCCAGACUGCUGGAAGGUGUUGCACAGCGCUACCGAAGUUCGUUGUCCCUCCGUCUCCUGGUCAGGUGAGCAAGUAUGCGAAGAGGGGAUUUGGAAGAAGGAAGGAAGGAAAAUGGGCUGCCUUCUUAGAAAGCUCUU